RNAcentral lists this long non-coding RNA (4587 nucleotides) under Jatropha curcas. Its description in RNAcentral is "long non-coding RNA (JCUR_LNC002734)". The record is from RNAcentral. Lineage: Eukaryota; Viridiplantae; Streptophyta; Magnoliopsida; Malpighiales; Euphorbiaceae.
CGGACUCCUCAAAGUCUCAAACUUCUCUGUAUUUGGGCUUCUUACAAAUUCAAUCACUUUCUAACUGUCUUUCUGAGAAGAAAAGGAUUCACUCAAGCCUAAAAGCGCUGAAACCAAUGGCGUCUUCACUAUCAACCACGGCUGCAGCUUCUGCUUCUGCGGUGGCCAAAACCUCUGCCAAUUUGCCUAAUUAUAGUAAUUGCAGCCUCUCUAGAGUUUCCUUUCGCCUUUCUCCUAAGCCAAAGCUUCGAUUUUUCGCCAAGGUAUUUAUUUUUUUUAUAUUUUUUUAAAGGUGAAGUUAAUUAGUUCUUGUUUUUGCUUUAACUGUUGUGAUUUACCUGGUUUUCUUGAAUUACUGGGUAAAUGUGAGGAAGAAAAAAGGAUUUCGUUAGUUUAACGUGUUUUGGGAGCUAUAGGUUUGUUUAUUAUUUGGAUUUGUUAAGUUUGAGAUUGCUUUAGCUGAUAAUGUUUUUGCAUUUCGGUUUUAGGAAGAAAUUGAAUUUAAUUUCAAGUUUUUUGUACUUCAGUUAGUUAUUUACUCUGUUACUGUUGCCUUGGGAACUAAAGCAGACUGCUAGUAUGUUUAGAUUUGUGAUUUCUCUCUUUAUCACAAAGUGUUGAUUUUGAAUGACUGGAAAUGUAAAGAAGAAAAGGAGAUUGAUAAAAAAAAGAAAGAAAAAAAGGAAAGAAAUUAUGGUUCUUAAUAUUGAAUAUGAAAUUUUUGAUGCAAGGUGACUUAAUAGAAUCAAUUUGGAAGUUAGGUAGUUUUAUUCCAUCAAUUGAUUGGGAUGAUUGAAUUCUUUUAUAGAAUUAUUAGUUCUAUUUGAUUUUACAUUUUUUGGUUUAUUGAGAGUCCAAUCAGCAUGUUCAUUUAUGAAAUUUCCUUGCUUGUGCCAUUUGAUACAAUCCAUUGCGAUUGAAUUAUGAUCCACUCUGGAGAGUGGACUUAAUUUUAAUGUUUUUUCUGGUUCAUUGCUUUUUUCCUCACCAUUAGUUUUUUUUAACGCACCUUCUUUUAGUAUAAACAGCUUUUCUUGGGAAAACUAGAUAUAAAAAGAACAAAAAAAAAAAAAAAAAAAAAAAAAAAUUUUGUAUGUAACAUUUCCCAAUAAACGCUCUGUCGUCUGGACUUUUUUAUUUAUGCCAAGCAAGCAAAAACCCUGAAGCGGACAGGUGCUAGUCCAGCAAGGCGAGUAUACUCAUAUCUAUACUUUUCUUUCUCAUUGGUUUCAUCGAUCCUCAGCUCUAAAGAGAGAAACGCCUUUCUUCUCUGUCUCUUCACUCCUGUGGCGGACUCCUCAAAGUCUCAAACUUCUCUGUAUUUGGGCUUCUUACAAAUUCAAUCACUUUCUAACUGUCUUUCUGAGAAGAAAAGGAUUCACUCAAGCCUAAAAGCGCUGAAACCAAUGGCGUCUUCACUAUCAACCACGGCUGCAGCUUCUGCUUCUGCGGUGGCCAAAACCUCUGCCAAUUUGCCUAAUUAUAGUAAUUGCAGCCUCUCUAGAGUUUCCUUUCGCCUUUCUCCUAAGCCAAAGCUUCGAUUUUUCGCCAAGGUAUUUAUUUUUUUUAUAUUUUUUUAAAGGUGAAGUUAAUUAGUUCUUGUUUUUGCUUUAACUGUUGUGAUUUACCUGGUUUUCUUGAAUUACUGGGUAAAUGUGAGGAAGAAAAAAGGAUUUCGUUAGUUUAACGUGUUUUGGGAGCUAUAGGUUUGUUUAUUAUUUGGAUUUGUUAAGUUUGAGAUUGCUUUAGCUGAUAAUGUUUUUGCAUUUCGGUUUUAGGAAGAAAUUGAAUUUAAUUUCAAGUUUUUUGUACUUCAGUUAGUUAUUUACUCUGUUACUGUUGCCUUGGGAACUAAAGCAGACUGCUAGUAUGUUUAGAUUUGUGAUUUCUCUCUUUAUCACAAAGUGUUGAUUUUGAAUGACUGGAAAUGUAAAGAAGAAAAGGAGAUUGAUAAAAAAAAGAAAGAAAAAAAGGAAAGAAAUUAUGGUUCUUAAUAUUGAAUAUGAAAUUUUUGAUGCAAGGUGACUUAAUAGAAUCAAUUUGGAAGUUAGGUAGUUUUAUUCCAUCAAUUGAUUGGGAUGAUUGAAUUCUUUUAUAGAAUUAUUAGUUCUAUUUGAUUUUACAUUUUUUGGUUUAUUGAGAGUCCAAUCAGCAUGUUCAUUUAUGAAAUUUCCUUGCUUGUGCCAUUUGAUACAAUCCAUUGCGAUUGAAUUAUGAUCCACUCUGGAGAGUGGACUUAAUUUUAAUGUUUUUUCUGGUUCAUUGCUUUUUUCCUCACCAUUAGUUUUUUUUAACGCACCUUCUUUUAGUAUAAACAGCUUUUCUUGGGAAAACUAGAUAUAAAAAGAAAAAAAAAAAAAAAAAAAAAAAAAAAAAUUGAGGUUUGCAUGAAAACAGCUAAAAGGGUGCCACGUUAUUAUGUCACUUCGGCACACCUAAAAUUUAAUCUGACAACAUUGCCUUUUUGGACGACACGAAUAUCUGUCAUUAAUGUAAUUUGGCUUACUCAGAGCCAUGGUUUAUUGAGAAUGAAAUUAUACUGUAUUUACACCUGUUGCUAUUUAUUAUUUUCUUUAUGGUUAACAAAAAUGGUGAACUUGGACAUUAUAACAUAUGGUGAACUUUUAUAUUCUACGUUUCAACAUUUCAAUGUUUUCACUUCCUUUCCAACUUUUUCUUGGCAUCCAAAGCAGUCGAUUGUUAAUAGGUCCAUCAGUAACUGUUAUAUAUGAAUUUGGAAUUCAAUCAAGCAGCACCAGCUAGAAUCUUGCUGUCUAUAACAAAUCAUUAUAGCAUCAUUCAUUCUCUCUCUCUCUCGGUAUGAUAAUUAUUAUAUAUCAACAUUUCCUCGUCGGAUUAUGUAAAUAAGAUAAUAAUUUAGUAUCUCUUGCAAAUUCAUUCGAUUUUUCAUGCCGAUUUUAGAUUCUGUUUCAAAUCUUAUGAUAAUUUAGUAGCACAGAAUAUGUUGUGCUUGUUGAGAUGCAAAUUUAAAUUGUUCUUCUUGGCAGAUUUGGUCAUUUUAUUUUAUCUGAUAGCUUUGUCUUAUGACUUAAGGUGAUGCAUCCAUUAAUUAGUGUGAUAUUGAGAGAUCAUUUACACUUGAUCAAUAUACACUUUUUAUUGCAGAUAUCUAAUUUAUGUCUUUACCAUUUUAUCACCAAAAUAUCCUUUGAAAUUUUCUUGUAAGAAUUCCAAAGCUUGUUUAGAGUCGUGCUUCACACUUGGAUUCAGAAGUUUACAAAUCUUUAGUUGUUUCCUAGAGUCAAAAUUUUCGUUUAAUUGUUUAUUUAUAGAUUUAUAUUCACUAAAGUUGCAUGUGUUUAUUUUGAUCAACAUUUGGGAAUUAAUUACUUCUAGGCUUUUGCCAACGCAAAAGAGGCAUGCAGGCCAACUUUUAACAUUGCACUGAGUGAUGCUAUAUGCAAGGGUUCUGGUGGUCAAAUCAACUGAUAACUAGGUUCCACUUAUCAGACACCAUGCCUAUUACAUUGAUUUUACUGCACUAAAUGAACAUAGAAGGUUCCAUUUGAAAUUCAAGUGAGGAGAAUUAUGCAUGUCCGUGAAAUAGAUGCAAGUUUUAUUAAUCCAGGAGAAAGUAAUUGAACUCAUGCUGCUGGAUGAACUACCUAUCAAUGCUUCCAUGUUUACCCCUAUGAUAGAAGGUUCAGCAUAAAUUUAGAACCUGAAGUUGCAACUUAACCUAUUUUCUAAAAAUAGUGAAAUCAUAAAAUGGGAUGCAACUUCCUUUUUCCCUUUUGAAACUCUUUUAAAGCUGUUGACUUGAUGUGUUCAUCACUCUGUUGCCACUUGCCAGAAUAAUAAUUAUAUAUCCUUUUUCCUAGAUCUACCCAUAUUAAUUAUCAAAAAAUAAUUGGAUCUGUAAUUGCACUGCGUAUGUCGAUGGGUACAGUGUCUGGGUCCAAUAGUGCAAAUGCAGAGUCUUGUGCUGGCUGGCGUUCUAGAAUGAUCAGUGAAAUGGUUGCUUAAGACUGAACAGUGUUCCUCUCUCUCUUUCUUUGUCUUAAUUGUCAAUUUACUACACUGUAUGUUAUUUUUGGUUUCCUUGUACUUGAGGAUGAUUUAUGCACAAGUCUAAUAUUUAUAAUAGUAUCAGCCAUCUUGGAACUGAUGUAUUGUUUUUACUCGUUAUUCUUUGUGUGGAAUCCUUCACUUGGUAGGAUUCUUGUGCCAACUUAAAGAAAUUGAGAACCAUUUAAUAUUUAUGUAUUAACUUUUCAGUUUAGAACAUUCAAUUUCAAGUUUAUUUUAGCAUGCAAAGAGUAAAAUUGGUCUCUGCAAUGUAGGGUCUGCAGCCUGGUCAUAACAAUUCCACUUUAGUGAAAGCUCAACUGAAUGAGGUAAGGUUCUUUCAACAGUUUUCAUUUGAAGAUCUUUUUUCAAAUUUUCGUUCCUUCCUGGACAUGCUUUUGGGCUCAUCUGUUGCCUUCAAGGUUGCUGUGGAUGGGCCCUCAAAUGCUGCUGCUUCACCUCCAACCAGAUCGGGAGUACCAUCACAAGAAAAAAAGGAUGCUAAGCCAUCAAAUGAGCCUUCGGCUCCAGCUUUGGCUACGGAGGAGUCAAUAUCCG